RNAcentral lists this non-coding RNA (29 nucleotides) under Mus musculus (house mouse). The record is from RNAcentral. Lineage: Eukaryota; Metazoa; Chordata; Mammalia; Rodentia; Muridae.
UGAAUUAUAUAGGGAANAGCCUCUGUAGG